GAGAUACAAGAGUGACUGUGUCAAGGGGGCCUGGCAUGCAAGGCUUAGAGCCCACCAGCAGCAUAUCAAUCCUACGUGCAUGAUAUGAUGAUACCACCACUUCCUUCUUACCACCACACGGCUCUAUUUCCAUGUUUACGGCUUGUUUACGGAAGCGUCUUUGAAUGAUCGUGUGAAACGGAUGGACGGCAGAAAAUAGUUGAAACUGAGAAGUACUGUUGGCUGCAACUGUGUUAAAGGGAAAUAAAUAAAAAUAACGUCUACUUCAUAUCUAUCAUCUCCAGCACCACCCCCAACAAUCUCAAUUG
Molecule: long non-coding RNA, 308 nt
Filed under: Oncorhynchus kisutch (coho salmon)
Lineage: Eukaryota; Metazoa; Chordata; Actinopteri; Salmoniformes; Salmonidae
Description: lncRNA (ENSOKIG00005019512.1)
Source: RNAcentral